GGAACAGCUUCUUCUUCCCCGAUGCUCCAAGAAAGUGCGCAGGCAGCUGUAUCCUCGGAGAUGCCGCCUACCCAUUACUACCUUGGUUAUGAACACCGUACAAGGACACUGGUCGCGAAUUUCCAGGCUGGAAGAAGAAGUACAAUCAUGCACACAGCCAGCAGAGGGUCUCCAUAGAGCAUGCCUUUGGAGUGCUGAAGCAGAGGUUCCGCAGGCUAUAUUAUAUUGACGCUGACAGCAUUGAGCAGGUGUGCCUGAUUGUAAUGGGCGCUUGUGUGCUGCAUAACUUGUGUACAGCCGAAGACGAGCUGGAAGACGUUUGCCAGCUUGAAACGUUGCCCACCCCAGAGAGCAUCGAAGAGGAAGAACAUAAUGCAAGUGAAGCAGCGGCUCGUCACUACGCAGAAGAGAUUCGAAAGCAGAUUGCCCUCACUUUGUAAAUAUGCUGGGUAAAAAAUAUAUUGAGUUUUCACGAA
This is a long non-coding RNA of Ornithodoros turicata, 476 nucleotides long. RefSeq lists it as uncharacterized. The record is from RefSeq and is a predicted model, not a curated record. The transcript has 2 exons. Lineage: Eukaryota; Metazoa; Arthropoda; Arachnida; Ixodida; Argasidae.